UCCUCUCCUCUCCUCUCCUCUCAGCCUCUCACUCUUUCCUCCUCUCCUCUCUCUCUCUCUCUCUCACCGACGGGAGCUGCGCGGCGUGGCGGGCUGGAGCGGCGGGCUCGGCACCGGCAGCGGCUGCGGCCUUCCAUCCGUGACGGCGGCGGGCACGGCGACGACGACGGGAGCGGUGGCGGCGGCGGCGGCUGCAGCUGCGGCUAGGUCGGCCAGCGUCCGAAGGUCGCGGGGCAGCGGAUCCGUCGGCCGUGGAGCCGGCCGCUGGCGACGACGACGGCGGUUGUGGUGACGCCGGAUGCGGCGAGCUCGACCGGUGGCAUGGCCUAGGGAGGAGCUCGCGGCACUCGACGGCGACGGCCAUGGUGCAGAGUUUGCCGGCUCGAGGAGCAGCAGGAAGAAGGAAGAAGAUGGGGACGUGGAUGUCGCUGGUGUGGUUCUUGAUGUUCCCGGCGAAGAAGUACAAGAUCGUCGUCGUCGGCCUCGACGAUGGCAAGACCACCACGCUCUACAAGCUCCAUGCUGCCCAAACCAAUCUCCCCCAACCCGACCUUUCUCCUCCCUGGCAGUGGCAGCCAAGGGGCUUGGAGCUCGUUGGGUGGCGUUACUAGCGGCGAUGGCCGAAGGGCGUGGAGCUCGAGGGACCCCCUCCACAACCGCUCGCCACCGCCAUCACCUUGGCCACCACCUAUCUCGUGUGCCGAUCUCAACCCGCUAUGGAGGAGGGCAGAUUUGUGGCAGGAAAGCGGUGGGAGACUGCUUGCUGGGGGCUGGAGGGAGUGAGGCCAGUGGAAAACGGGAUGGAGGCUGAGACAGAGGGAGCUCGUCGGCAACUUCGGCUGCUCCAUUGAGAUUUUCAGGGAGGAAGGGGAAAGAGCAGAGAGGAAGGAAGAAGAAGAAAGGGGUGUACUGACUAGUGGGACCCCCUCUCCCUCUUGGUGACGUGGAAUUCUUUUUUAGAGGUGGCAUCCGACGUGGCAUCCAAUUGUACCAAAACCAGCCUAAAAUUGCUUUGGGGGUAAAGUGUCCGGUUUUAAUAGUUCGAGGGUGUUAGAUAUCCGGUUUUACAGUUCGAGGGUGUGUUUUAGACAAGGUAAAUAGUUGAAGGGCGUAAAAUGGACUUAUCCUUUUUUUUAAAAUAAGACGAAUGAUCAAACGUUUAAGAUAGAAGCCCACGACUGCACUUAAAAUAGAUUAGAGGGAAAAUAUUUUAUAUUACGACUUUAAACAUUACUCUCUCCUUCGAAAAGUCUAAGUCCUAUUUCUUUUUACACUAAGACAAAAAAAAUAAUUCAUUUACCAUGUGCCAAAACCAAUGAACAUGCAACCAUUAAACAUAAAAAUGGCUUCUUGGGUUUCUAUUAAAAAUUUAAUUUAGCACAUGAUCACUACAGAUAGGAAUUGAUUUUUGAAAAAAAAUUAAAGAAUGAAAUAGGUAGGAGGGAGUUAUUCUGUUUAGACUGUGUUUAGUUCAUUAAAAAAAAGUUAAAAAUUUAGGAAAAGUUGAAAGUUUGGAAAAAAAAAGUUAAAAGUUUAUAUGUGUAGGAAAGUUUUGGAUGUAAUGUAAUGUGAUGUAAAAUUAGAAGUUUGGGGUAGCUGGGGUAAACUAAACACGCCCUAAAUUUUACUCCUAUGGAAGCAGUAUUGCCUCUGACACGCAAAGCUAGCUUUCGAUCGAUCUCAUCCGCGUCACUGUCCCUACCUAGCUGACCAGCACCAGCUCGAUCGAUCUACUCCUAUCUAGCAAGAUCCAGUAUGCUCCCUCACAGAUUAUUUAUCAAAUUAAUUAAUCACCCCGUUAAUUACACCACUGGUUCACUUAAACCCUAGUUAACCCCCUAACCCCAAACCCCCCAUCCCCCGCUAUAAAUACCACCCCCAAAUCUCCCUCCCAAACCAACCCAACCCAAAGGAAAUCCAUCCAUGGCGAUCUCCAAGCUCCAGCUCGCCCUCCUCGCCGCCGCAAUGGCGGCGGCGGCGAUCUCCCCCACCGCCUCCGGCGCCUACACCGGCUGCGCGACGCCGAGGAAGGUGACGAUCCAGAACCUCUCCGGCCGCGACCUGCCCCUCUCCGAGACGCCGCUGGCGAACAGCGGCGCGCUGUUCGGCGCCGGCUACGUGCUCCGCCACGGCACGCACGCCGAGUUCACGACGUGCCUGUGGACGGGGCGCGUGGCGGCGCCGGGGGCGGCGGUGGUGGAGUUCCACGUCGGCCCCGACGGCGGCGCGUGGUACCAGGUGGACAACCGCCAGGCCGGGUCGCCGGUGAAGGUCACCGUGACGCCGCACGGCCGGCCGCUCCAGGGCCACUGCCCCGCCGCCGGGUGCCGCGGCGGCGGCCAGUGCUUCGCCGACGCCGUCCCCGGCGGCAACUGCCACGCCGUCGACGAGCUCAAGAUCAUCUACUACAGCCCGUGAUUUUGGUUUUGGUUUGGUUAAAUUUCGUUUGGAUUAGUGGGUGAUUAGGCCGUCUAUUAGUUUUAAGUUAAUCAUUUGGAUCGUCGUUGAGUCCGUCUACUAGCUAUAUGUAGCUACUGCUAGCUUUAGCUAGUGAGUGUGUCAGUGUGUGACAGUGUCACGUCAUCGCAUGCAUGCAUGCAUUGAUGUCGACAUGUCCUCGUAAUGUGCGUCGUGUUUUGUCUUGUCGUGUUGUUGAUUAAUCCUCGAUAAUUUGAUGUGCAUGCAUUGUUUGCAGUGCAGUGUGCCAGUGUUGUUAUAUUACUGGACAGUGGACGCCUGAUCGAGCAGUGAAACUCCAGCUGAACAUUAUCAUCAUAAUCAUAGACAAAAAUAUAAUGGAAAGGAAAGAUGAACUGAUGAAGUAGCUUAAUAACUACUCCAUCCGUAAAAAAAAAAAACUGACCUAAGAGUAAGAGGGGAUCCUCUGUUCAGAUUCGUGGUACUAUAAGAGUCACGUUCACUUAUAGUUUGGUUUUUUAGGACGGAGAAAGUACUUCACUCCUCAUUAUUUUUGGUUUUUUAGGACGGAGAAAAUACUUCACUCCUCAUUAUUUUUAGCACAAUAUCAAAUCAAACAUUUUUAAAUUUGACUAUAAUAGUAAAAAAAUUAAAAUUGAUAUUACUAGAUUUAUCAUUAAAUAAACUAUCAUAAUAUGAAACUCUUUUUAUUUAGAACAUCUUAUUUUUAUAGAUAUUGUUGGUUAAAGUAUCAUUUUGAAGACUAUGUCGAAGUCUAAAAAAUACUUAUAUUUUAGUACAGAAGGAGUAGUUUAUUCUUUUAACAGAGUAUCGGAGUGAAGACAAAUAUGCAAAUUCUUUGAUCGUAUUUAAGAAAGGAAUAUUACAAUAAGGCUAUAAUAAUUGGGCAUAAGGCAAGAAUUAAAGUGAAUCAUGACAAAUUGGGAAGCAUAUGUACCAAUAAUUUUUUCUAAUAGUAAACAUGAACAUAAGUAUUAUAAAUAAAUGCAGUGGUGGCAGAUACUACAAACAUUCCUCAAGCACGAGAUGUGAAUUUCAAAUUGAUGAUUAGUUUAGAAAAUUUAUACUAAAUACUAAUUUGGUGUAUUAAUUAUUAAACAUAGAUUAAUUACAAAACUAAUUACACAUAUGGAGUCUAAUUUGCUAGACGAAUUUAUUAAAUCUAAUUAAUCUAUAUUUAGCACAUAUUUACUGUAACAGUACAUUGUCAAAUUAUGGAUUAAUUAAUCUUAUCUCGUAAAUUAAUCUUAAUCUAUGUACUUAAUUUUUGAAAUUAGUAUAUGUUUAACCGUUUAAAUUAAUGUCUAAACAUCGAUGUGUCCCUGUAUUCCAACUACCCCUACGUUGUGCUACUGCUACCUGAUCUGAAUAGUAGUAUGAUUCCAGCAUGCACGCGUGCCCGGCAGAGCUCAGAUCUCAAAAAUUAACAGAGUAUCUUCUGGCCCAUUCCCUGCACAAGCAGAUAAAAAAGCGUAGCCACUCGUUUCUGUCGACCAUUUGGUCCAAUUGCAAAAUUAACCAAAUGCAAAAUGAAUGGAAAUUUGUACUAAGUGACGAUUAACUUGGUUAAUUAACCUGAAACUCAAGAAAUUAAUGAGACCGGAUUAAUCACACUUCUAUUACUUAUGCAAAUGCACAGCUUGUUUACUGCAAAAUAAACUAUGAUUAAAAAAACAAAAAAUCAAAUCCAAAAUUAAAUUCUAAAAUUUAAAUUUGAACUUAUAAGUAUAAGCAUAAGCCAACUAAUAAGGUCAUGAGGCUCGUGUCUCGUCUGGCUCGUGUCUCGUCUGCCCCUCUCUUGUCCUCCUUGCUCUUCUUUUUUCUGGUCAGGUCCCAAUUCUAGCGACAGCCCAAUUUGGACUUGUUUGGAGCUGGAGCUCAGCCAAACAGUUUCAGUUCCACCUAAAAUAAGAGUUGAGUUGAAUGAAGCACUCUCACAAAAUAAACUAGAGAGGUGAAGUAGGGUUUAGUCAGCCUCACAAUUCUACUUCAGACACAACUCCUGAAGCUAAAUUCAAGAGUUGUAGCUCUAAUUGACCGUCCAUGCUGGGGAGUGGACACCCAACACUAAAGGCCCCUUUGAAUCGCAGGAUUGAGAAAACGUAGUAAUAAGAAAAACGUAGGAUUUUGAUAGGAAUGUAAGUGUAAAACAGAGGAUUGCAAAACACAGGAAAAACACAUGAAUGACCAUUUGAUUGAACCACAGGAAAAACAAAGGAAUUGGAUAAGAGAGAUAGAUUCAAAGGAAAGUUAACAAGAGGUUGAAACUCUUGCUAAAUUUCCUCCAAAAUCUCUAUAGGAUUGUCCAUUCCAUAGAAAUUUCAAAUGAUUAAAUAGGAUUCAAUCCUUUGUUUCAAAGGGCUUCGUAGGAAAUUUUUCUAUAAAAUUAAAACCCUCUACAAUUCAUAUUAUUUUCCUCCGAAUCAAAGAGCCUAACGAGGCCAUGCAUUCCUACGCUAUCCGGCCUAGAAUCAUUGGCCGGCCCGUCACGUACGGCCCAACGUUCGAGAUUAUGGGGUUGUUUGGUUGGCGGCUUGGAAUGCCACGCCACGGCGUGGCUCGCCACAGGAGUGUGACGGACGUUUCGUCCGCCUCAGAAAACACUGUAGAGUGGCGAAAAUACUGUAGCUAUGGUAUUCAAUGGCUGGGAUCCAAACACACCCUAUGUGAUUAAUUGCAGCAGUUUCAGCCUUGUACGCACCAAAUAAUCGGAGCUGAUUUCUUCCGUCCAACACCUGAAGAACGCAAGGGUGGUACUUUUUACACUGUAAAAUUUGAAGGCUUAGGUUUAAAAAGCAUUUUAUGCAUUUUUGACCCAAAAAUAUUUAAGGUUUAGGUAGGGUUGUGAAAGAAAACAAAAUUAUUAUCAAUGAUAGGUAAUUUACCAAAGAGAAACAAAAUUAAUAAUUUACCAAAUUAUUAGUUAUCAACAAUAAUUUUAAUUACAUCACAAGUUAUUAACAGUUAGCAUCACAAAUGAACCAAGAGAAAGGGGUACAAGAAUUCAGAGAUGAGUCAAAAUUAGCUAAUAGAUAUGUAUCAGGUCGAGCAUGAGUUACUAACGGAUAAAAAAUGAAACCUGUUUGUUGCCCAUAACGUCUUCGGAUCUCGAACGGACAUGUCCGCGGGUAAAAAGUCACACCCACGCCCAUGCCCAUCGGGUCGGGUAUCCACGAAUACCCGGACCUAUGGGCAAAAUUGCCAUCUCUAGCCAUAAGCUCUACAUUGUGAAGAUCUAAACAACACCAUAUGUUGGGGUGAGUCACAUAAUAUAAGGGAUUUCAGGUGGAUGUAAUAUAUCCCAGUACACAUCUUAGUCAAUAUUCAUUGUACUAGAAUGUGUCACAUUCAUCUAAAAUCUCUUAUAUUAUAGUACGGAGUAAGUAGUAACAAUUUCUGGCUCUUGUCGUUCUUUCAUUCAGGGGAAGAAAUAGUUAGAAGAAGAAAAGAAAGAACACAGCUGGAUGGGUAGAUUCCAUGGCAUAUCCAGCAUGCAUUCAACCUCCUCGCCCACACUCACAGUCAUCGUUCUUAUCCUCCUGACCCUCCGAUUGUUGAAAGCAGCACGUGUGGAUCUGUACACGGACACUGCAUUUAAUACACAGUACAUCAAGCACGAAGCCUCCGAAUUGUUGUAAUUUGCAUUAUAUUGCAAUUUACAGACAUGCACGUUUAGCAAUAAUGCACUGUAUUCGUUCAAGAAAAUCCUUUUUCCAGUUUGGACGACAAAAUUCAUAACAAAUGCUAAACUUGCUAAUACCCACGUAAAAGAAAAAAAAAACUGCAUUUAUGUUUGCGCAGGGCUUGUUCGAAAUGCACGAUGAAAAAAAGAACGAAGAAAUAGAAAAACGUAUGAUUUUAAUAAAAUGUACUACUUCCGUCUCAUAAUAUAGGUAAUGAAGUAAUCUAUAAUCGGAUGGAACUCAUAGUAUAACAAAUCUGAACAAAAGAGUGUUUAGAUUCGUUGUACUAUGAAAUGUCUUAUUCAGUUCUUUAUUGUUUUAUUAUGCGAGUGAGAAAGUAUAAACAAGUACAAAUAGAUGAAUGUAAAACAUAAGAAUGGACGUUUAAUUAGGCUACAGAGAAACAUAGGAAUAAGAUAAGAGACAUAUUCAAGGGAAAUUUUGAGGUUUGAGCUAUUGUUAACUUUUCAUCAAAAUCUCUAUAGAAUUGACCAUUUUAUAAGAAUUUCAAAAGAAAUGAUAGUUUCAAACGACUUUUAUAUUUUUUUUCAUGUAUGAAUGAAAUCCUCAAAAUCUCAUAGAUUUUUCUUGCAAAUCAAAGUGGGCUUUCCGCAAGACCGGUGGCUUAAUUUGGCUACAAGGUUAACGCUGUGUUCGGAUUCCAGUAAUGGGAACUAAUCCCUCCUGCACGGAAAACGGAGCAGUCCAUUAACGUGUGAUUAAUUAAGUAUUAGCUAUUUUUUAAAAAACGAAUUAAUAUGUUUUUUAAACAACUUUCGUAUAGAACCUUUUUAUAAAAAAACAUAUUAUUUAGUAGUUUAAAAAGCGUGCGCGUGAAAAACGAGUAAGAUGAGUUAGAAACAUGGGAUGCAAACACAGCUGUAACUACAGCCUACUCCAGCCCAACCAUAGUCUACCGCUGGUCACAUUAUUUGAUUCUCUCUCUCUCUGUGAAAAAAAAAGAAGAGAAACUCAAUCCUGCGCUUGUAUUUAAAGCGUAAAAAUAGGAUGCCCAUAAUUGAUCAAGUUACUUCUCCAGACAAGAUUUACUUAUUUGAUUUAGACAUAUAGUACAUGCAGAAUCUCAAAAGGGAUAUGAAAAUCUGAAAAAAGUUUAUGCCAAUGUGACUAAGGCUGCCCAUGUUUUUCUCCCUUCUCUUUUUGAGAGAAGGCUGAAUGCGAAAGGCGGCAUAUGCUUGAGGUUCACUCGAGUGGGCCGACCGGAGGCAUCAUGACUCGUGAUAACAGUCCAAAUCAUGGAGCCAUGCCGCCAUGGAUCAAAGCUGCCUAGCUACCUCUCUAUUGUCUAUGGAUCCUUAUGCUGACAAGGACAUCCUAAUGUGCUCCUCCAUUUUAAACACUCCCUUUUGUUUUAAAAUAUAAGCUAACUUUAGAAAAAAUAUUAUUUGAAGGGAUUAACAACAUCGGUAAAUUUUUAUUAGGGAAAUGUACUGAUUGGUUGUGAUGAUGAGAGUAUAUGUAGAGACAUUAAAUGAGAGAGAGAUGGUUGAGUCGAGGGAGUAGGCGAUCAGGCAUAGAAGUAGAUAUAUUUCAGGAUAAAUUUUAAAUGUUAAAAGAAAAAAAAGUACUCUUACAUCUUAAAAUAUAAGUAUUUUUAAAUUUCGAUAUGGUCAUUGAGAUUCUACUUGGCUAAAAAUAUUUAAAAAAUAAAAUACUUUAAAUAUAAGCAUUUUUAAACUUCGACAUAGUCAUUGAGACGCUACUUUGACUAAAAAUAUUUUAAAAAAUAAUAUGUUUUAAAUAAAAAGAGUUGUAUAUUACGAUAGUUUAUUGAAUGAUAAAUCUACUAGUAACAUUAUUCUUACAUGAAUGAUCAUUUUUAUUUUUUAAGCUAUUAAUGGUCAAAGUUAAAAAUGUUUGACUUAGCAGCAUUUAGAAAAUGAUUAUAUUUCAGGAUGGAGAGAGUAGUACUUUAUCAACAUUGAUAAUAAUUUCUACUAGCUAGCAAUCAACACCGUACAUAUAAGUACUAGUACUACAUUCUUUGUAAAAUAAAAGGGGAUUUUGAGAAUGUGUGUGCACAUAUAUUUGUCGAAAUCCAUCCCUGUGACGGAUGUAGUAUAAACUUGCUUAUAUUACAACCAAUGCAUGCUGGGUUCUCUGCUAUCGGAUUGCGUACGCGCGUGCAGAAUUGUUGCUAGCUGUGCGCUACUCCUGUAGUUUGUUGGUAGUAGCACUCUAGCUAACCGCUUCGUUACAUGAUAUACUGAAUUAGACACCACUAGGCCAUCUAAUACCACAAAAUCUGAAUAUUCGUGAUACUAUGUGGUGGUAUUAUUUUGCUUAUUGUAUUUUACUAGGUACUCCCUGCAUCCAAUAUUAGUGCAACUUACAAAAUGUGAUAUAUCUUAUGAUUACGAAUUAGAAUUAUUAAUCUGGAUAUACAAUUGUCCAGAUUUAUAUUUUUAGGAUAUGUCAUAGUUGUCUGUUGCGAUUUUUAGUAUUAGAAAAUACUACAUUUAUAUUAGGUUACUUAUAUUGAUACGUACGGAGUAAGAAGGGUAAGAAAGAAUACGUUCACUGUUUUCCAGAACAGGUUUCCAUGCUCAUUGGUUCUUCGAAGGUUCUUGGCUUCGCAUCAAGCACGCGCGCAGUUUCCUAGGGCAGUCAACACUUGGGUUGUGGAUGCAAUCACACGAGCUACAGCGCACGCAGUUUUAGGCUUUAUGCAGUGAGCGUUGAGUGCAUGGAAUACUUUGGUUGUGAAAUCCUUUAUAUAUAUAUAUAUAUAUAUAUAUAUAUAUAUAUUUCUCUUUUAAAAUGGUGAAGUUAAUUAGCUGGCUAUCAUAUAAUCAUAUACUAAGCAAAUUAAUAACUUUCUCUUUGGAAUAAUUUAAACACAGGUGGUCGAUCGAAUAACAAAAGCAUCACGAGCUAUGAAUAUAAAUCCGACGGAACCCUAUAAGAUUCAUCAGUUCUUACUAAUCCAAAUUCCAAAGCAUGCACUUUUCAUCAUUAUCCCAUCUCAUAAACAAUUACUACAGCCCAAGGUUUUGACAUUAGAGCAAGUUUAAUAAUAUACUUCCUCUGUCCUAAAAUAUAGCUACCUAAUACUACAUGUGAUAUUAUCUUGUACUGCUGUCCAGAUUCGUAGUACUAGAUAAUGUCACAUCUACUACUAGGUAGCUAUAUUUUGGAAUGGAGGUAGUAGCUAAUCAUCUUCAAAUUAUUUAUAGUCAAUCUAAUAGAUGAUUCAUAUAAUUUGUAUCACCUCAAUAAUAAUUGGUAUCAUCUCUUCUCUCUCACCUAUAUAUUAUCUUUUGUAUACGUGCUUAUAAUUGAUUUAUAGUCUGUCAUUGUAUCUGCUCUUAGCUAGCUUGAUGACCUAGCAGCUUCAUCGAUUCUUGCGUGUCCUUUUGGAUUAGUGUGCAUCCAAGCUACGACAAUGGCGGCCGCCACCUUCGCCUUUAUAAAGCUUACCUUUGCUACCACUCAACCACACCCCCAUCCUCACCAACUCACUCCCUUGAAAAGCUAGACACACACACAUGGCCAAGCAGCUCGCCCUCGUUCUCCUCGUCGCCGUCGUGGCGGCGGCGGCGACGUCGGUGGCCGCCGCCACCAAGCUGACGCUCCACAACCUGUGCCCGUACCCGGUGUGGCCGCUGGUGACGCCCAACACCGGCUUCCCUUCCAUCUCCGGCAACACCGCGCGGCUCGACGGCGGCGGGCGCGGGCUCGUGUCGUACGACUUCCCGGCGAGCUUCUGGGCGGGGCGCGUCGUGGCGCGCACCGGGUGCGGCGGCGGCGGCGGACUGGUGCGGUGCGAGACCGGGAACGCGCCGCCGGCGACGGUGGUGCAGCUGGUGGUGCACUCGCCGGAGGGGGCACAAGACCUGGCCGCGUACAGCGUGAGCUUGGUGGAUGGGUUCAACGUCCCGGCGGUGGUGAGCCCGCAGGCCAUCGCCGGCGGCGGGCAGUGCCCGGCGC
This 10073-nucleotide long non-coding RNA is filed under the name Oryza sativa (Asian cultivated rice). RNAcentral's name for it is "long non-coding RNA (OSAT_LNC000210)". The record is from RNAcentral. Lineage: Eukaryota; Viridiplantae; Streptophyta; Magnoliopsida; Poales; Poaceae.